This 279-nucleotide ribosomal RNA is filed under the name uncultured bacterium. RNAcentral describes it as "partial 16S ribosomal RNA". It matches the Rfam family "Bacterial small subunit ribosomal RNA", at positions 506 to 784 of the family's 1533-position model. The record is from RNAcentral.
UGCCAGCCGCCGCGGUAAUACGGAGGGUGCAAGCGUUAUCCGGAUUCAUUGGGUUUAAAGGGUCCGUAGGCGGCCUUAUAAGUCAGUGGUGAAAGCCUACAGCUUAACUGUAGAAUUGCCAUUGAAACUGUAGGGCUUGAAUCUAUUUGAAGUGGGCGGAAUACAUCAUGUAGCGGUGAAAUGCAUAGAUAUGAUGUAGAACACCUAUUGCGAAGGCAGCUCACUAAGUUAGCAUUGACGCUGAGGGACGAAAGCGUGGGGAGCGAACAGGAUUAGAUA